GAGGGCAUAGCUCAGUGGUAGAGUGUGUGCUUAGCAUGCACAAAGUCCUGGGUUCAAUCCCCAGUACCUCUA
Molecule: transfer RNA, 72 nt
Filed under: Camelus dromedarius (Arabian camel)
Lineage: Eukaryota; Metazoa; Chordata; Mammalia; Artiodactyla; Camelidae
Also listed under: 1 other name
Rfam family: tRNA
About the family: Transfer RNA (tRNA) molecules are approximately 80 nucleotides in length. Their secondary structure includes four short double-helical elements and three loops (D, anti-codon, and T loops). Further hydrogen bonds mediate the characteristic L-shaped molecular structure. tRNAs have two regions of fundamental functional importance: the anti-codon, which is responsible for specific mRNA codon recognition, and the 3' end, to which the tRNAs corresponding amino acid is attached (by aminoacyl-tRNA synthetases). tRNAs cope with the degeneracy of the genetic code in two manners: having more than one tRNA (with a specific anti-codon) for a particular amino acid; and 'wobble' base-pairing, i.e. permitting non-standard base-pairing at the 3rd anti-codon position.
Source: Rfam by way of RNAcentral